This 207-nucleotide ribosomal RNA is filed under the name uncultured bacterium. RNAcentral's name for it is "partial 16S ribosomal RNA". It matches the Rfam family "Bacterial small subunit ribosomal RNA", at positions 568 to 775 of the family's 1533-position model. The record is from RNAcentral.
CGCGUAGGUGGAUAUUUAAGUCGGAUGUGAAAUCCCCGGGCUUAACCUGGGAAUUGCAUUCGAUACUGGAUAUCUUGAGUAUGGUAGAGGAAAGCGGAAUUCCCGGUGUAGCGGUGAAAUGCGUAGAUAUCGGGAAGAACAUCAGGGCGAAGGCGGCUUUCUGGACCAAUACUGACACUGAGGCGCGAGAGCGUGGGGAGCAAACAG